Molecule: non-coding RNA, 589 nt
Organism: Python bivittatus (Burmese python)
Lineage: Eukaryota; Metazoa; Chordata; Lepidosauria; Squamata; Pythonidae
Source: the annotation of a RefSeq genome assembly
UGCUUGUCUGAAUGUUUUCCCAUCAGUAAGUCUCCUCCGAACUUUAGAGUGAACAGAAAUGACACCCUGGAUAAACCUCAUACUGUUAGCAGUAGUCCUCAGAGGUGUCCAGUCAGAGGUCCAGUUGGAGGAGUCUGGAGGGGAUGUGAGAAGCCCUGGAGACUCCCUCCGUCUCUCCUGCCAAGCCUCUGGAUUCACCUUCAUCAGCUAUGGCAUGCACUGGGUGAGGCCAUAUCCGGGGAAAGGACUGGAAUGGGUGGCAGUUAUACCCUCCAGUUCCAGCACUAUUUGUUACUCUGACAAAGUGACAGGAUGCUUCACCAUCUCCAGGGACAAUGCCAAAAGCCAGCUGUAUCUGCAAAUGAACAACCUGAAACCAGAGGACAUGGGACUCUAUUACUGUGCUGGAUACACAGUGAGAGGAAGUGAAUCUGAAGCCAAGCAGAAACUCCCCGUUCCUUGGAGCAGCUUUGCAGGUUCAUCCAUGAACCACAGUUUCAACUGGUACACUGAAACUGUGAAGAAUCAUACAGAAAAAACACAAAAAGUUACUGUCCUGAAAAGAACACACAAAUACAUAAAAAUCUGA